AAACUGCUUUUGUAUGCCAAGAAACCUUAGUACGUGUACUAAGCUGACGGUAGCAUACGAAUAAGGAUCGGCUAACUCCGUGCCAGCAGCCGCGGUAAUACGGAGGAUCCAAGCGUUAUCCGGAUUUAUUGGGUUUAAAGGGUCCGCAGGCGGAAAAUUAAGUCAGUGGUGAAAUCCUACAGCUUAACUGUAGAACUGCCAUUGAUACUGAUUUUCUUGAGUACAAAUGAGGUGAGUGGAAUGUGGCGUGUAGCGGUGAAAUGCAUAGAUAUGCCACAGAACACCAAUUGCGAAGGCAGCUCACUAAAAUGUAACUGACGCUGAGGGACGAAAGCGUGGGGAGCGAACGGGAUUAGAUACCCCGGUAGUCCACGCCGUAAACGAUGAUCACUCGAUGUUGGCGAUAUACUGUCAGUGUCUGAGCGAAAGCAUUAAGUGAUCCACCUGGGGAGUACGAUCGCAAGAUUGAAACUCAAAGGAAUUGACGGGGGCCCGCACAAGCGGUGGAGCAUGUGGUUUAAUUCGAUGAUACGCGAGGAACCUUACCUAGGCUUAAAUGUAGAUUGACGUAUUGGGAAACCAGUAUUUCUUCGGACAAUCUACAAGGUGCUGCAUGGUUGUCGUCAGCUCGUGCCGUGAGGUGUCGGGUUAAGUCCCAUAACGAGCGCAACCCCUAUCAUUAGUUGCUAACAUUCAGUUGAGGACUCUAAUGAAACUGCCCGCGUAAGCGGUGAGGAAGGUGGGGAUGACGUCAAAUCAUCACGGCCCUUACGUCUAGGGCUACACACGUGCUACAAUGGUAACUACAGAGGGAAGCUAUCUGGUGACAGUGAGCAAAUCCUUAAAAGUUAUCCCAGUUCGGAUUGAAGUCUGCAACUCGACUUCAUGAAGUUGGAAUCGCUAGUAAUCGGAUAUCAGCCAUGAUCCGGUGAAUACGUUCCCGGGCCUUGUACACACCGCCCGUCAAGCCAUGGAAGUUGGGGGCGCCUGAAGUCGGUAACCGCAAGGAGCCGCCUAGGGUGAAACUAAUAACUGGGGCUAAGUCGUAACAAGGUAGCCGUACCGGAAGGUGUGGCUGGAACAACUCCUUUUU
RNAcentral lists this ribosomal RNA (1093 nucleotides) under uncultured Cryomorphaceae bacterium. RNAcentral's name for it is "bacterial SSU rRNA". It matches the Rfam family "Bacterial small subunit ribosomal RNA", at positions 427 to 1533 of the family's 1533-position model. Lineage: Bacteria; Pseudomonadati; Bacteroidota; Flavobacteriia; Flavobacteriales; Cryomorphaceae. The record is from RNAcentral.